RNAcentral lists this transfer RNA (70 nucleotides) under Calopteryx aequabilis. Its description in RNAcentral is "tRNA-Val". It matches the Rfam family "tRNA". From Rfam's summary of the family: Transfer RNA (tRNA) molecules are approximately 80 nucleotides in length. Their secondary structure includes four short double-helical elements and three loops (D, anti-codon, and T loops). Further hydrogen bonds mediate the characteristic L-shaped molecular structure. tRNAs have two regions of fundamental functional importance: the anti-codon, which is responsible for specific mRNA codon recognition, and the 3' end, to which the tRNAs corresponding amino acid is attached (by aminoacyl-tRNA synthetases). tRNAs cope with the degeneracy of the genetic code in two manners: having more than one tRNA (with a specific anti-codon) for a particular amino acid; and 'wobble' base-pairing, i.e. permitting non-standard base-pairing at the 3rd anti-codon position. The record is from RNAcentral. Lineage: Eukaryota; Metazoa; Arthropoda; Insecta; Odonata; Calopterygidae.
GAAAUGUAGCUUUAUAGAAAGCGUUCCAUUUACACUGGGGAGUGUGGCUGUGCGACUCAGCUUAUUUUGA